Molecule: ribosomal RNA, 468 nt
Filed under: uncultured bacterium
Lineage: Bacteria
Description: partial 16S ribosomal RNA
Rfam family: Bacterial small subunit ribosomal RNA
Source: RNAcentral
GACGAACGCUGGCGGCGUGCUUAACACAUGCAAGUCGAACGGAAAGGCCCUGCUUUUGUGGUGUGCUCGAGUGGCGAACGGGUGAGUAACACGUGAGUAACCUGCCCUUGACUUUGGGAUAACUUCAGGAAACUGGGGCUAAUACCGGAUAGGAUCUCCUGCUGCAUGGUGGGGGUUGGAAAGUUUCGGCGGUUGGGGAUGGACUCGCGGGUUAUCAGCUUGUUGGUGGGGUAGUGGCUUACCAAGGCUUUGACGGGUAGCCGGCCUGUGAGGGUGACUGGCCACAUUGGGACUGAGGUACGGCCCAGAAUCCUACGGGAGGCAGCAGUGGGGAAUAUUGCACAAUGGGCGGAAGCCUGAUGCAGCAACGCCGCGUGCGGGAUGACGGCCUUCGGGUUGUAAACCGCUUUCGCCUGUGACGAAGCGUGAGUGACGGUAAUGGGUAAAGAAGCACCGGCUAACUACGUG